AUCUAACUGACGAGUCCCAAAUAGGACGAAACGCGCAUCCUGGAU
RNAcentral lists this non-coding RNA (45 nucleotides) under Schistosoma mansoni. Lineage: Eukaryota; Metazoa; Platyhelminthes; Trematoda; Strigeidida; Schistosomatidae. The record is from RNAcentral.